GCCGAGCUGGGUAACGUCAGCUUGUGACCUGAGUGGGGGCAUUGAGGUGAUUGAACAAGGCUAUGACUUGCUAAGCUAGUCUGGAGGCUGCAACUUGCUGGCCUGCCCACUCCAAGUUAGGAGCUGAGCCAUGGGAUCUUUGCGAAGGCGUUGGUUUCCUGGUUUCUAGACAGGAGGGCACCGCGUGAGGCUGGUUUCACAGAGCAGCGACCCUGAGCUUGGUGAGCCUUGCUCUUGAACAAUUACUUUUUAUUUUUAUAAAUGUCUGUUUUAAUGCAAACUGAGUGCAUUUUGGAACACUGCAUAAGCAUC
Molecule: non-coding RNA, 312 nt
Filed under: Vigna angularis (adzuki bean)
Lineage: Eukaryota; Viridiplantae; Streptophyta; Magnoliopsida; Fabales; Fabaceae
Source: RNAcentral